CGGGGAGUAGCACAGUCUGGUAGUGCGCGAGCUUUGGGAGCUUGAGGUCGUGGGUUCGAAUCCCGCCUUCCCGA
Molecule: transfer RNA, 74 nt
Filed under: Pajaroellobacter abortibovis
Lineage: Bacteria; Pseudomonadati; Myxococcota; Polyangiales; Polyangiaceae
Rfam family: tRNA
About the family: Transfer RNA (tRNA) molecules are approximately 80 nucleotides in length. Their secondary structure includes four short double-helical elements and three loops (D, anti-codon, and T loops). Further hydrogen bonds mediate the characteristic L-shaped molecular structure. tRNAs have two regions of fundamental functional importance: the anti-codon, which is responsible for specific mRNA codon recognition, and the 3' end, to which the tRNAs corresponding amino acid is attached (by aminoacyl-tRNA synthetases). tRNAs cope with the degeneracy of the genetic code in two manners: having more than one tRNA (with a specific anti-codon) for a particular amino acid; and 'wobble' base-pairing, i.e. permitting non-standard base-pairing at the 3rd anti-codon position.
Source: Rfam by way of RNAcentral